UGGGGAAUGGUGUAAUGGUAACACUCCGGUUUUUGGUACCGUCAUUCUAGGUUCGAGUCCUAGUUCCCCAGCCA
RNAcentral lists this transfer RNA (74 nucleotides) under Caulobacter sp. RNAcentral describes it as "tRNA-Gln". It matches the Rfam family "tRNA". Rfam says of the family: Transfer RNA (tRNA) molecules are approximately 80 nucleotides in length. Lineage: Bacteria; Pseudomonadati; Pseudomonadota; Alphaproteobacteria; Caulobacterales; Caulobacteraceae. The record is from RNAcentral. RNAcentral also lists the same sequence under 103 other names.